This is a long non-coding RNA of Etheostoma cragini (Arkansas darter), 95 nucleotides long. RefSeq lists it as uncharacterized. The record is from RefSeq and is a predicted model, not a curated record. NCBI's taxonomy places the organism in Eukaryota, Metazoa, Chordata, Actinopteri, Perciformes, Percidae. The transcript has 3 exons.
ACCUGAAAACAGCAUGUAGCUUUUCUUUAGCGUCUCACAUCACACUUUCAGUCACUAUGACCACUACGCUCAGAAACUUUGAUUGUACUCAAAUA